UGAGGACUACCUACGCCCUCGUCAUCAUCGAAGAGGAUGCGUCCUUCCUCCGCUACGGCCUCCUAUCCCCUAGCGGCGCCGCCGCGGUGAGGAAAGAGGUCGGGGCCCUCUGCGGCGAGCUGCGGCCACACGCCCUCUCCAUCAUCACCUCCUUCGGCAUCCCCCCGGGCCUCCUGAGCCCCCUUGCCUUCGACUGGGUCGAGGCCAACUCCUGGCCCGCAGUCGAGACCCCCUGACCACCUCCUCCCCCAACCUCGACAAGCCCAAGCUCCCCAUCCUCCCACCUCAGACCUCAAUAAAUCAAUCCUGGGUUGUAUGUAAUCUCUGCCAAAGUUACAUCUACCGGAACAUUGCCACGAACAUGGUGGAGCUGAGGAUUGUGCUGACGACGACGGCUUCGACUUGAUGGGUCGGGCACGGAGAAGAUCAUCUGGGCCAGCGCCAA
Molecule: long non-coding RNA, 445 nt
Filed under: Spirodela polyrhiza (greater duckweed)
Lineage: Eukaryota; Viridiplantae; Streptophyta; Magnoliopsida; Alismatales; Araceae
Description: long non-coding RNA (SPOL_LNC000785)
Source: RNAcentral